RNAcentral lists this ribosomal RNA (274 nucleotides) under uncultured bacterium. Its description in RNAcentral is "partial 16S ribosomal RNA". It matches the Rfam family "Bacterial small subunit ribosomal RNA", at positions 523 to 796 of the family's 1533-position model. The record is from RNAcentral.
AUACGGAGGGUGCAAGCGUUAUCCGGAAUCAUUGGGUUUAAAGGGUCCGCAGGCGGACUGAUAAGUCAGUGGUGAAAUCCAGUAGCUUAACUACUGAACUGCCAUUGAAACUGUCAGUCUUGAAUUCGGUCGAAGUGGGCGGAAUGUGUCAUGUAGCGGUGAAAUGCAUAGAUAUGACACAGAACACCGAUAGCGAAGGCAGCUCACUAGGCCUGAAUUGACGCUCAGGGACGAAAGCGAGGGGAGCGAACAGGAUUAGAAACCCUAGUAGUCC